AGAGUUUGGUCCCAGCUCAGGAUGAACGCUAGCGGUGCGCCUAACACAUGUAAGUCGUGCGUUCGAGCCGAACUGAGUCUCCUUCGGGAGACAAUGAUUGGUGACGGAGCGGCGGACGGGUGAGUAACACGUGGCUAACCUACCUUCUUGACGGGGACAACCACCCGAAAGGGCGGCUAAUACCCGAUGUUGUCUGGAACCGAUGGGUUCCUUUCCAAAGGCGGUCUUGCCGCCGCAAGGGGAUGGGGCUGCGCCCUAUUAGCUAGUUGGUGAGGUAACGGCUCACCAAGGCUGCGAUGGGUAGCUGGUCUGAGAGGACGACCAGCCACAUUGGGACUGAGAUACGGCCCAGACUCCUACGGGAGGCAGCAGUGGGGAAUCUUGGCCAAUGGACGAAAGUCUGAGCCAGCGACACCGCGUGGGGGAUGAAGGCCUUCGGGUCGUAAACCUCUUUUCUGGGGAAAGAAUAUGACGGGAGGAAAUGCCCGCUCGAUGACGGUACUCCAGGAAUAAGCAUCGGCUAACUCUGUGCCAGCAGCCGCGGUAAGACAGAGGAUGCAAGCGUUAUCCGGAAUUACUGGGCGUAAAGGGCGUCUAGGCGGUUCGGUAAGUCGUUUGUGAAAUCCCUCGGCUCAACCGAGGAGAGUCUUGCGAUACUGCCGAGCUUGGGUGCAGGAGAGGAGGGUGGAACUCACAGAGUAGCGGUGGAAUGCGUUGAUACUGUGAGGUACCCCGAUGGCGAAGGCAACCCUCUGGCCUGCUACCGACGCUGAAGCGCGAAAGCGUGGGGAGCAAAGGGGAUUAGAUACCCCCGUAGUCCACGCCCUAAACAAUGUUCACUUGGUGUCGGCCGCUCAUACUGGUCGGUGCCGAAGCUAACGCGUUAAGUGAACCGCCUGAGGAGUACGGCCGCAAGGCUAAAACUCAAGAGAAUUGACGGGUCCCUGCACAAGCGGUGGAGCACGUGGUUUAAUUCGACGAUAAACGAAGAACCUCACCCAGGCUUGACAUACUAGUGGUAGGAACCUGAAAGGGAGACGACCCUGCCUUCGGGUAGGGAGCUAGUACAGGUGAUGCAUGGCUGUCGUCAGCUCGUGUCGUGGGAUGUUGGGUUCAGUCCCGAAACGAGCGCAACCCUUGUCGUUAGUUGCCAGCGGGUAAUGCCGGGGACUCUAACGAGACUGCUGGUGAAUAGCCGGAGGAAGGCGGGGAUGACGUCAAGUCAUCAUGUCCCUUACGCCUGGGGCGACACACAUGCUACAAUGGGGGGUACAGAGGGUCGCAAUCCCGUAAGGGGGAGCCAAUCCAUAAAAGCCCCUCUCAGUUCGGAUUGAGGUCUGCAACUCGACCUCAUGAAGCCGGAAUCGCUAGUAAUCGCGGGUCAGCCAUACCGCGGUGAAUAUGUACUCAGGGAUUGUACACACCGCCCGUCACACCAACCGAGUGGGGGGUACCUGAAGUCGCUCUUCUAAGGGCGCCUAAGGUAACUUCCGCAAGAGGGGUGAAGUCGCAACAAGGUA
This 1520-nucleotide ribosomal RNA is filed under the name metagenome. RNAcentral describes it as "bacterial SSU rRNA". It matches the Rfam family "Bacterial small subunit ribosomal RNA". The record is from RNAcentral.